RNAcentral lists this long non-coding RNA (952 nucleotides) under Coffea arabica (coffee). RNAcentral's name for it is "long non-coding RNA (CARA_LNC000338)". The record is from RNAcentral. Lineage: Eukaryota; Viridiplantae; Streptophyta; Magnoliopsida; Gentianales; Rubiaceae.
CACGUAAUGAAAGUAGAAAGAAUCCUCAAGUAUCUUACGUUUUCUGUAUGAAUUUUGAUUUAUUAAAUGUUGGGCAUGGCCGAUGAUGCAUGUUUAUCAAUAUAUCGUUUAUACAUCAGUAUACAAUAAUGCCUUCUGCUUAGCUUAUAGCUGGAGUGCGGUCUAAAUAUGUGAACAAACGUUCUUGCAGCAUCAUCCCGGAGGAUGGGAGAAGGAAGGCUUAUGCAGAAGCCCUUGCAAAAGCCAGGAAAGAGGAAGAGGCUACAAGAGCAACAGAGAAAUCUCGUCUAGCUGCGGAAGCAGCAAAGAUGCGCAAAGAAGAGUUAAAGAAACUUGCAAAGCAGGAAGCUGAGGCUGCCAGUUUUGCAGAACAAGCCCAAGAGAAGGCGGCUGCUGCAGGAGUUUCAGUUGAGACCUCUUAAGUAAAGCCCAAGGCAUAAGCUCAGGACUAUCUUGGGAAAACCUGAGCUCACAGCUGAAAUCAGCUGUUCAGCAACCUGCGGAAGCAGCAAAGAUGCGCAAAGAAGAGUUAAAGAAACUUGCAAAGGCAGGAAGCUGAGGCUGCCAGUUUUGCAGAACAAGCCCAAGAGAAGGCGGCUGCUUCAGGAGUUUCAGUUGAGAGCCUCUUAAGUAAAGCCCAAGGCAUAAGCUCAGGACUAUCUUGGAAAACCUGAGCUCACAGCUGAAAUCAGCUGUUCAGCAACCCGGCGAGGACUCUAAAGUGCAGGUCGCUACUGUGAGGGGUCAGGUUAGGGCUCGAAAUCUGCCUGUCCAAAAAGCUGUAGUCAAAAAAUCUGCUUCCUUAAAAUCAAGGGAGGUUCCAAAGCCAAAGGCCAAACAACCAGAGUCCAAGACAGAGGUCAGAAAGGUUUUUGGCGGGUUGUUUCAGCAAGAAACCAUUUAUGUUGAUGAUGACUAAGAAGAUUGGAGCUACAUAUAUUCUAUUCUCUGU